CUACGUGCCAGCAGCCGCGGUAAUACGUAGGGCGCAAGCGUUGUCCGGAAUUAUUGGGCGUAAAGAGCUCGUAGGCGGCUGGUCGCGUCUGUCGUGAAAACUUCCGGCUCAACCGGGGGCUUGCGGUGGGUACGGGCCGGCUAGAGUGCGGUAGGGGUAACUGGAACUCCUGGUGUAGCGGUGGAAUGCGCAGAUAUCAGGAAGAACACCGAUGGCGAAGGCAGGUUACUGGGCCGUUACUGACGCUGAGGAGCGAAAGCGUGGGGAGCGAACAGGAUUAGAUACCCUGGUAGUCCACGCCGUAAACGUUGGGCACUAGGUGUGGGGGCCACCCGUGGUUUCUGCGCCGUAGCUAACGCUUUAAGUGCCCCGCCUGGGGAGUACGGCCGCAAGGCUAAAACUCAAAGGAAUUGACGGGGGCCCGCACAAGCGGCGGAGCAUGCGGAUUAAUUCGAUGCAACGCGAAGAACCUUACCAAGGCUUGACAUGC
Molecule: ribosomal RNA, 490 nt
Filed under: uncultured bacterium
Lineage: Bacteria
Description: bacterial SSU rRNA
Rfam family: Bacterial small subunit ribosomal RNA
Source: RNAcentral